CGGGGCGUAGCGCAGCGGUAGCGCGCCAGGAUCGGGACCUGGAAGUCGCCGGUUCAAAUCCGGCCGCCCCGA
RNAcentral lists this transfer RNA (72 nucleotides) under Chloroflexota bacterium. Its description in RNAcentral is "Chloroflexi bacterium (groundwater metagenome) tRNA-Pro". It matches the Rfam family "tRNA". Rfam says of the family: Transfer RNA (tRNA) molecules are approximately 80 nucleotides in length. Their secondary structure includes four short double-helical elements and three loops (D, anti-codon, and T loops). The record is from RNAcentral. Lineage: Bacteria; Bacillati; Chloroflexota.